Molecule: long non-coding RNA, 7044 nt
Filed under: Ananas comosus (pineapple)
Lineage: Eukaryota; Viridiplantae; Streptophyta; Magnoliopsida; Poales; Bromeliaceae
Description: long non-coding RNA (ACOM_LNC019024)
Source: RNAcentral
CCCACAAAUAUAAAUCUCCACACCAAACUCCUUUAAUAGUAGUUACCCUAUUCAUAAGAAACUUUAUUUUAACUAUUUUCAAUACCGAUUGAUUUCUAAUGCAAGUGGUAAAAGAUUUGAUCAUCUCAUAGUUGAUAUUCGAGAUUCUAAAAUCGAAAUCUAAUUACUUUAUAUCUUCAGAUAACUUUAUUUCUAAAAAUAAUAAACAAAUUUGUAGCACGCUAUCAUUCUCUCUCUCUCUCUCUCUCUCUCUCUCAAAAAAGAAAUUGAAUCAGAGUUCAAGAGAAUAAAUAUAUAACUGUUUCUUUAAGUAGAUUUUUGUAAUCUGUUAAUUGUACAGUAAGCCUUUGGAUAUGGUUGAGAUAGAGACUGUGUAAAUCCUUGUAAAAUACGCCUUUGGAUGUGAUUUAAAAAUGGGCCCAUUUCUUUCGUGUCUUUUCUUGUGGCUUACCUGUACGGUCGUACGGAACUUUGGUUGUGGUUGAGAAAUAAUGGCCAAGUUGUAUAAAAAAUUUCCUAGUUUUACGAUUUUGCAAAGUAUGGCCACUAUUGUGAAUUUUGUAGAUUUGGAUUAAAAUUUCAACAAACUGAUCAAAAUAUUUUUUUUUUUUUUGUUUUUGUUUUCUUCUCUUUUUUUCUUUUUUUUUUCCAACCCUCCUCCACCGUCUUCCAGACCUCGGCGACGGUAACGAGGGCGUGCGCUGCCUCCUCUCCUUUCGCCUCCGCCUUCAUUGGUGUCGGCAUCGACGUGGGCGCCAGAGGAGAAAAACUCGAAGCCGCCUCCGCUUGCGCCGGCCCAGACAUCAACGUGGCGCCGGAGGAGGAGAAUUCGAAGUGGGAGCAGAUGAGGACGGAAUGGACAGAAGCAACGAGGUCGUGGUCGAGGAAGUACUCGCGGCUCUUGAGGAUAAGGUGAAAGACACAUCUAUCUCCAAGAAGCAUAAAGUAAAAAAAAAUAAAGAAAAAAUUUUUCCUUGAAAGACCGUUAUAUAUCGUCACUGUUAUAAGAAAGGCCAAGAAUUAGAUAAGAUGAAAGAAAAAGAUGAUGGUUGCACUAUUUUACAAAAAAAUUACACUGUUUAAAAUGAACGUUGCACUCUUUGAGAUAAAAAUUGCAUUCUUUUAAACGAAAGUUGUACUCGUUCAAUAAAAAUUACACUAUUUUAUAAAAUAAUGCACUUUUCUUUCAUGACGGCCACUCUCGCUAGUGUGAGCCUCUCCACCUCACGUGCCUGCGUUGAAGUGCUGAAACCCGAAGACGAUCUACCUCCCCCGCGCGAGGGUCUCUCUACUCCCAAGCAGCCGCGACGCCACCACCACCAACAAUUUGGUUCCAUGUUCAACAAGAUCAUUAAACAUGGUGAACGCAAGGUGUCUAAAUCCGAGUCUUCCUCCCUCGAACCCUUUUUCCCCUCCUUCUCCCUCGAACCUUCCUCCCUUUCCUCCUCCCCCUUCCCAUCCGUCUCUGCCUCCCCCUCUACCUCGCUCGUCUCCAUCAACCACGCCUUCCGCUCCACCACCAACGUCGUCGCCGCACACUCUCUCCCCGGGCUCCACCACCAUUGCCAUCGCUGCCGCCACAUCAUCUCUGCCCGGGGAGAGCGAUGGCGGUGGUGUAGUGGGAGGUGUGGUUGAUGGAGACGAAUGGGACGGAGGGGAUGAGAGAGGAGGGAUCGAGAGAGAAGGAUGAGCCUCACGCGGGGGAGGUAGGUUAUUUCUGGAUUUCGGCGCUUUGACGAGGCGCACGGGGUGGACAGGCUCGCACUAGCGAGUGGUUGCCAUGAAAAGUAGAGUGCAAUUUUCUUUAAAACAAUAUAAAUUUCAUCAAAAUAGUGCAACUUUCAUUUCAAAGACUGUAAUUUUUAUUUCAAAGAGUGCAACGUUCAUCUUAAACAGUACAAUUUUCUUGUGAAAUAAUGCAAGUUUAUUUUAACAGUACAACCACCAUCUUUUUCUUCCUUCUUCUCUAAUUCUUAGUCUUUUCUAUAACAAUGACGAUAUAUAAUAAUCUUUCAAGAAAAAUUUAUUUAUUUAUUUAUUUAUAUUUUAUUCCUUUUUUAUCAUUUUUUUUUUUUUUUGUUCCUUGAAGGAGAUAGAUAAAUUUUCAUCCUUAUUCUCACAGGCGGCAAGCACCUCUUUAGUCACAACUUAAUCGCUUCCGUCCAAUCCGUUCUCAUCCCCGGCCACUACGAGUUCUCCUCUUCCGGUAUUGCGUUGAUGCCGGCAUCGGCGGAGGCGAAGGCAGUGCUGAGUUCUUCUCUUCCAUUGUCGACGCCGAUGUCGGUGCCGACACCGGCGAAGGCGAAGGUGGAGCCGCAGGAAGAGGAGGCAGUACUACCCUCGUUGCCUUCGCCGAUGGUAGCAGAGGUGGUGGAGGAGGGUCGGAAAGAAAAAAAAAAAAGAACGAAAGAAAAAAAAAAAGAGAGAAAAUAAAAUAAGAUAUUAUUGUCAGUUUGCUAAAAAUUCAGCCCGAAUCUGUAAAAUUCAAAAUAAUGGCCCACUUUUGCAAAAUCACAAAGCUAAUUAAUUUUUUAUACAAAUUGGACAGAAAUAAUUUAUAUAGAUUCUUAUAAAUUACAAAUUCUUUGGAUCCCUAUGUGAACUUUGUGACAAAAAAGGUCCUUAAUCUUAUUUUGGUAAAAAACAAUUAAUACAUUUCAUUUCCAAAUAUAUGAUUUACACCAAUUAAUUUGGUAGAUAAUUUUUUUUUUAUUUAUCACAUCACGUGACAAGUAAAAAAAUUUUACACUCUUUAAAGCGAUAGGUAUGAUAUAUAUAUCACUUUUGGGGUGUGUGAAUAGUACUGUAUUUUUUUUAAUAUGCUUUUGUGUUCUAGUUCAUUGCAUCUAUUUCUUUUCCUCUAAAUAUUUUAAAAAUGUGAAUUAAAAAAAUAAAAAAUUCUCGGGCGUAUUUAGAAAGCGGACUGCUAGAUCUACAAUUAUUUUAUGAUUAUAAUCUUACAAUAUGUUCUUUCAAAAGUUAAAUCUUUCACAUUUAUCUUUAAUUUUAUAUUUUUCUUUUUUAAUACUAAACUCAAAAAUAUUUAUUUAAACUCUAGGACAAGAGAUUUUAACUCUUGAAUGAGACUUGUUUUUCAGUGGUAGUCUUAGUAACUCAGGCUAAAAAAAUAAAAAUCUCGUUGAAAAAUCUCGUUGAAGUCGCUGUACAUUUAUUAUUAUUAUUAUUAUUUUUUCUUUGAUUGAAUAGUAACAUCGUGCUACACCUUACGCAGCACAUUUAAUUAUUAUCACAAAUUAAAAUACAGCUAUGAAGAGGCCUGUACAGUGUCCUAUCUCCAGGUCACAUGGUUUGUAGCAGCAACCCAUAUGCUCUCCUCACUUUUUUAUAGUAUUUCCAUAACAACACUGUUUUAUAUAGCUUGCUCGAAAGGCCCUAAGUGAGAGAAGAUCCAUAAAUUAUUAAGAAGAGAUACAAGUAGGGAUAUCAAUGGGUCGGAUUCGGGCGAAUUUUUAAAAAUCUAAACCGAACCUAACUCCAAACCCGAAAUCCGAAUCCGAAUUCGAACCCAGUAAAUUUUAAAAAUUUAUAUCCAAAACCGAAUCUAAUCAAAAAUUUAAAAUUCGAACCCGAACUUGAACCCGAAAAUCCUAACAUGAAACAAUUAUUUUUCUUUCAAUAUAUUAAAAUAUAUUACAUUAAAUUUAAAUUUUUAAAAUAUAAAUUUAAGUAUAACAUCAAAUUUUUAUAUAUAUAAUAAAUUUGUGUUUGGGUUCGGAUCGGAUACAGUCAAAAUCUAUAUAUAGAUUCAUAUCCGUCGAAUUUUUAUUUUUGAUAUAUAUAUUUGAAAUCAUAUACGUUCAGCAUCCAAUAAAUCCGCUAUGUUCGGGUUUAGGUUUCGAUAAAAUUUUAGAUAUCUGUACUUAUUGACAUCUCUAGAUACAAGUGCAUGUUCAUAAAAAAAAUUCCAAUAAAUAUCAAAUGAAUUAUUUGAAAAGAUAUUGAGAUCCAUGACCAUCAAUAUAAGCUUAUGAAAGGGCGAUAGGGUUGGAGCCCUCCCCGCGUUUCGCGCUCUCCGCCCUCCGGUACGGCGGCGCUCCCCCCCCCUUUCGUAGCCGCGACGCUAGGGUUGGAGCCCUCUCCGCCCUCCCGUACGGCGGCGCUCCCCUCCCCCCCUUUCGUAGCCGCGACGCCAUCGCUUUCCUCACUCGGGAACGCAGCCGCGUUCUUCCGUACGACGCGNACAGCGAAAAAGUUUUAUCUUUCUGUUCUACUUUUUUUUUCUAAAUAUACUCACUACGGAAAUAAAUAUUAUUCAAAAAUAUUAAUGGAUAAUAUUAAAAUUAAUAUUAAUAGUUCUAAUAAUUGGCUAUUGUAUCGACUUCCUGUUGCAACACGCGAGAUUCCGAUUACCUUUGUUUCUAAAUAUACUCACUACGAAAAUAAAUAUUAUUCAAAAAUAUUAAUGAAUAAUAUUAAAAAUAAUAUUAAUAAUUCUAAUAAUUGACUAUUGUAUCGACUUCCCGCCGCAACGCGCGGGGUUCCGUAACUAGUGUUUAAUAAUUCAUGGAAAACUGAACUCUUAAUUGUCACAUGGUGAGCACAAAAAUUGAUAAAAAAAAGGUAGCACUUUAGUUGGCGAAAGGAUUAGUAAGUAUUGAAUUAAUUAGAGAAAACUUCAAAAACCCCCCCAGUGGUUUCAUAGUUUCUCAUUUUGCCCCCCUGUGGUUUAAAGUGUAUUAAUUUGCCCCCCUGUGGUUUCGUUUUUAUCUUUUCGGUAGCUUUUUCGUUAAUAUUUCGUUAAAUUAUAUACAAAAAACUUCAGAUACCCAUAUAUAUUUAUCAAAUAUUCACUUUAGUACCCUUUAAUUCUAACUUUAUUACUAAUUUAAGGAAAAAAAUAAUGAAAUUGAUAAGAAAAAGAGAAAAACAAAAUCACAGGAGGGCAAAUUGAUACAUUUUAAAUCACAGGAAGGCAAAGUGAGAAAUUAUGAAACCAGAGAGGUUUUUUUUGAAGUUUUCCCUAACAAUUAUGAUUGAGAAGGACAGUUGUGUACUGCAUGUUGCAAGUUGGUAGAAAAGGACCUCCCAAAGCCUUUCUAAUUUAGAAAAAUAUAUAGGACAUUUGUGUAUUGCAUGUUGAAAUUAACUUGGUACCUUCCUAGUCUAGAAAAAUUAUAUAUUUUCCAAUAAUUUUAAAAUGUUUUUCUAGUGCAUAAGGGUACUAUUGAAAUGUUCAAAAUCUUUAAAUAUUCGUUUCCUAUUUUGCACCCAAAAAAAGUUCGAAUAUAUCAACAUAGAAUGAAAAAAAAGAAAAAAAACUACAAGAGAUUAGCUUUAUAGGCCUAAUAUGAAACCUAUUACUUAGCCAAUGAUUUAAUUACUAUAUUACUUUACUAUACUCAAUAUUUUGGAUAAAUAAAUAUAAAAUCAUGACCACCUGCAUCGCGUGAUAGUUGUCGUUAUAAUAAAAAAAUUAUACAUAAGAUCACAACUUGGCAUUUUAAAUUUGAGAUACUCAUCAUGAGUUACACACACCACAUUUUUUAGGACCCUCUUGAAGUUCUUAACUAAUAAAACUAUGAGGUGCGGCAUCAAGAAAAUAAAAAAAAAAGAAUAAAAUAUUGUAAUCCCUUCACUAUUUCAAUAUUGCCACUUGCUCAUUAAAUUUUUCACUAUUUUAAUAUUGCAACUUGGCCAUUAAUUUUUUUGCUUAAAUAUUCCACUCUUAGCCUUCACAUGUACUUGAUUUUAUGAAGUUGAUCAUUAUAGCCUUUCACUUUUAAAAGAACUCAUUUAUUCCAUCAAAUUUUGAGCAACGAUAAAUAUAACUUUAAAUUUAAAAUCAUCAUAAUUAAUUUGGUAAGUAAAAAUUAAAAUAUUAUAUAUGGGUCUAUAGGAUCCAGUAUUUUAGCGAAUUGCUAAGAGAUGGUAUUUUUUUUAAAAAAAAAAAACUUAAAAAACACUCCAUAUAUAUAUUGGUUGAGCCAAUCGCUUUUUAUUUUAUAUUUUAUAAGCACGAAAUUAUAUAAAAUAAAUACCAGAAAUUACAACAUUAAUUAUUAUUCAAAUUUUAAAAAAAAAACAACCACACAUUCAACACCCAACGUGCAUGGCACCAACCAAAACAUCAGUGUGGGCCCCCACCCCAACGUUGACCCGGUCACUUCUCCGUCGCCGGAGUCAAUGCGGUGACCGUGAUCUUGGGCUCGAGGGGGAGCGUACCGACGUCGGCAGCGAACGUGUCGUAGCGGAGGAAGAGCUCCACGACGAACAGCCGCCCCGCCAUCACCACCACGUCCUUCCCGGGGCACUGCUUGUUCCCGGCCCCCGCCUCCGCCGUCUCCGCCCCGUUCGACCACACCACGUACUCCAGCAGCCGCCGCCCCUCCUCCCCGACAAACCGGUCUGCCACGAACUCUGAGCCGUUCUCAAACACCCGCUCGUCCCGCGUUGCAAAAGGUUGGUAUCUGUUCCAAAUAAAAUAUUAAAACACCAUUCUCUACUAGCAUAAGCCUCGAAGAUAUAUGAUAGUGAGGCCUUCUAUUCUUCUUUUAUUAGGAAUGUAGUCUCAGGUUAAAAUAUAAAGCAUAGCUUCGCUACUAAGAAAAAUACCAUCUAAUUAAGGGUGUGUUUGUGAAAAAAUAAAAUAAUUUUCAGAUUGUUUGGUUGAAAGAAAAAAAUAAAAAUAAAAAAAUAAAUAACCCAAAAUAUAUUAUUAUUAUUAUUAUUAAAGUAUAUUAUAUAAUAAAUAUGUAAUAUAAUACAUAAAUAGUAUAUAACAUUUAAUAGAUUUGACUUUCGAUCAUUUUUAUCCGUUAGGUUAUACUAUUCAACCAAUCACCAUCAACCCUAGGAACCACUAUCAUCUUAGCUGUAUAUUCUUUUAUUUAAUUACUGAAAACUUACCAACCGUCCCUAGAGCAAGUGGCAAAAGGCUUGGUGGUUGGUAUCCGAGACCUAAGUUCGAAUUCUAGUCGAUUCAUAUUUCUAGCUAAGUUUAUUUCUGAAUGAAAUAAAUGAAGCGAGUAGCGUGCUACCUAUCUCUCAAAAAAAAAAAAAACUACUGAAAACUUAAUAGCACAA